Long non-coding RNA from Drosophila novamexicana, 605 nucleotides. RefSeq lists it as uncharacterized. NCBI's taxonomy places the organism in Eukaryota, Metazoa, Arthropoda, Insecta, Diptera, Drosophilidae. The transcript has 3 exons. The record is from RefSeq and is a predicted model, not a curated record.
UGUGGAACAGAAAAUUAAAUUGCUUAACUAAGCCAAUUUCGCGGACAUGCUCUGAACUGCUUCAGUUAAAGUACUUUAGCUCAGCUGAAGCUUUUACGAAUAUUAAAUUUGCUAAAAAGGCUUCGACUUGGGCUUUCUUUAUUCACAAUAUCUUUAAAGUACUUUCACUCCGAAGGUCAAACAAUAAGCUUGUCAACUUGACCCAAUUCAGCUGAAAGCAAUUUGCUGCAUUCUUGAGCGCUGCUUAAAGUCCCCAGGGGCUGGCUGAUAAUGUGGCUUCGCACCUUAAUGUGGUCACAUUUGGGUUGAUGGCAUUCACUCCGUGAGCCACUCACUCGUUCAGUCAUUCUCUCAGCUUAUCAAUGUGUGAUCAAAGUCCAACUUAAGAAUUUAUACUAAAUUGUAGAGUUCUUGGAAAGCAGCCACCCGACUCACUUGCCACCUGUUGAGGACCAGGACCUCUGUCCGUGCGCUGAUAUGAAGCAAGGCUUAUGUGGCGCUUCGGGUUUUAAGUUUGAGUUUGAGUAAUUGCCACGUCCGUGGCGGGUGUUUAAGUUUUAAUUGAAUUUGAUCGAAUGCAUGUGAUAAAAUUAAUUGAAGAGACA